This is a long non-coding RNA of Marmota monax (woodchuck), 1388 nucleotides long. RefSeq lists it as uncharacterized. The record is from RefSeq and is a predicted model, not a curated record. The transcript has 4 exons. Lineage: Eukaryota; Metazoa; Chordata; Mammalia; Rodentia; Sciuridae.
CCUAUCCCGUUUAAGAGAAGCUCAGCGUUUCCACGAAGAACAUCGACCGUCCAUAAGAGAGCUGGGUGCAAAAAGAAUCCCUGAAUGCGUCAGGAGUCCUUCCUCUGAAACAGCGCCUAGGAGGGCUACGCAGGUGCAGGAUCACACUUUGGUGGCGUGAAGAAUAGACUGAAGGAAGGCAAGAGUGGAAGAGCCAAGCCCAGUGGCCCAUACUAUUCCAGCUAUUCAGGAAGCUGAGACAGGAAGAUCAUAAAUUCAAGAUACAUCUAAUGAGAACAUAGAAGACUUACUUUCAUCAUCUGAAUCAAAUCCAAAGAGUGUCUGACAUUUCUUUUGUGCAAGUAUUUGGUGGACACAACAUCAUUGUUUGUAUGUGGUGCUGAGGAUCGAACCCGGGCCACACGCAUGCCAGGCGAGCGCGAUACCGCUUGAGCCACAUCCCCAGCCCCUGCUUCUAUUCUUAAGAGGCUGUCUGUGGCCAGGAGUUGGAAGAUAGGCAUUAUUCCAUUUUAAGUUCCCUCUUUAAAGAAUAAAAAUUUAACAAAGAAAAGAACAAAAUAAAGCAGAUCUUUCUGUUUGUUUGUUUACACUUGAUUCCAUUCACUUCUGAAUAAAUUAAAAGACUAAAGAUACCCUAUUUAAAUAGUUUGCUAGAGCUAAGGGCAGAGAACAUUCUUAUCCCCAUUGGAAAAGAUCUACUAUUAUCAGUCAUGACUAUAUUCCAUUUCAGAAUACAAAACAUGAUAAUACUUUUAAAACUACUUAGAAGUUCACAUGUCUCACCACCAUCUCCUUAUUCUCUUCCACUAUUUGCAAUUCCAGUUGACAUGGUCAAUUUUUCAAAUAAAAAUAAAAAUUUAACUAAGAAAAGUAUACUACUCGCCUAGAAGACAAGUGCACUUCUUCCUAGGUCCCCUUCUCUAAGCUAUAUGAAAAUUUUAAUCUAUAAAACAAAAAUGUUCAAAUAUGAUUUGGAACUAUAUGCCUUCAAGAUAUUGUUUUAAAGAACUUAAAAAUUGAAAGCACUUUUUAAAAAUCCUACUUAAAACUUUUAAAUAGUUUUCAAAUGUUUUUUACAAAUUCAUGCUCCAAAACUUAAUUUCAAACGUUGUUUCACUAUAACACAUACCUUGAAAAUUUACACUUGAUCUUAGCCAAAAGGCUGAGAAGCGAUUUCCUUGAAAAUUUAAACAAUGAGUUACAUAUGAUUAUUUUCUUUUUAAGAUAUUUAAUUCUUAUACUGUUGUUCUUUGCACAAAAUUUUUAAAAUAGUUUAAUAUUUUCACACAAUAUUAAAAUAGCUAUGAAGUCCAAACUGCUAAUCAUUUCUCCCUCUGGUACCCAUCUUACCAUUUUAAUUUCUGUAUUAGGAAUACUUACCAUAUACA